CAUUACUCUGACAUCGGAGCUGCGGCCCAUAGAGGCGGGAAUGUUACAAAUGGGGCAUUCGGUCAACUUCAGACAGGUCAUACCCCCGGACCAGAGCAACUUUAUUUCCAGAGGCUAGUGUCGAGAUACCUGCACCCAAUAGAGCAUGGCACAAGCAUACGGAGUUCAAGAUCUUUGGUGUCCUUCAGCACUCGCAUGUCGCUGGUGUCCGCAUAACCACACGUCACUUCCGGGGCGGGCGCGAUCUUCCGUUGCUUAUCACCGAUCCGAAUUACGAUUUCAACUUUCAGGACCUUCGGAAAUUACCGGAAGAGAUCGCCGUUUACCCAGGUGACUGCUUCAAAGUAGAUUGUCACUAUAACACCGUUGGAAAAACACAGCCAGUUUUGGGUGGUCUGACAACUAAAGAUGAGAUGUGCAUGUCGUUUGCCUACUACUACCCGAGAACACCAUUG
Molecule: long non-coding RNA, 455 nt
Organism: Dreissena polymorpha
Lineage: Eukaryota; Metazoa; Mollusca; Bivalvia; Myida; Dreissenidae
Exons: 4
Source: RefSeq, a predicted model, not a curated record